UACGUAGGGAGCAAGCGUUGUCCGGAAUCAUUGGGCGUAAAGCGCGCGUAGGUGGCUUCGUAAUUCCGUUGUGAAAGUCAAAGGCUCAACCUUUGAAAGCCGAUGGAUACUGCGGAGCUAGAGUACGGAAGAGGCGAGUGGAACUCCUGGUGUAGCGGUGGAAUGCGCAGAUAUCAGGAGGAACACCAAUAGCGAAGGCAGCUCGCUGGGACGUUACUGACACUGAGGCGCGAAAGCGUGGGGAGCAAACAGG
This 253-nucleotide ribosomal RNA is filed under the name uncultured bacterium. RNAcentral describes it as "partial 16S ribosomal RNA". It matches the Rfam family "Bacterial small subunit ribosomal RNA", at positions 524 to 776 of the family's 1533-position model. The record is from RNAcentral.